Lepus europaeus (European hare) is the source of this 5710-nucleotide long non-coding RNA. RefSeq lists it as uncharacterized. The transcript is spliced from 29 exons. Lineage: Eukaryota; Metazoa; Chordata; Mammalia; Lagomorpha; Leporidae. The record is from RefSeq and is a predicted model, not a curated record.
AUGCUGAGGGACUCAUUCCAGAUGUCAAUCUGAGGUCCAGAUGAGUGGUUCUGUAAUAGGGCAAAUAAGACUCUCAGAGCUUGUCAAUAUUUGGUGACCUCUGUAAUGACAAUACUGAUAUAAAUAUGUGUUUUCUUUUUCUCAGAAAAUAAUAUUAGCAGUCUAUAUUAUAUACUUUUUUAAGAAAAUGUUUUUUAUUUAUUUGAAAGGCAGAGUUAGGAGGAGAGACAGAGAGAGAUCUUCCAUCUACUUGUUCACUCCCCAAAUGGCUGCAACAGCUGGGGCUGGGCCAGGCUGAAGCCAGGAGCCUGGAGCUUCUUCUGAGUCUCCCAUGUGGAUGCAGGGGCUCAAGGACUUGGGCCAUCUUCUGCUGCUUUCCCAGGUCCAUUAUCCGGGAGCUGAUUCAAGUAAACCAGCCAGGUCUAUGAUCCAGCACCCAUGUGGCUUAACCAGCUAUGCCACAACACCAGCCCCAAUCUUAAGUAAUUUUUAUAGUCUCAGUGACUCAAGACUUGCUUCAAUUUGCUCACUGUGAACAAAGAGUGUAGAUAGAUACUGUAUAUAGGAAAUAUUAAUUAAUGAGUGAGAAAAUAUUGCAUUGAAAAUGGAUUGUGCAAAAUAUUAUGGGUUCUGCAAGUCUUAUUAAUGUUGGACUGAAGAAAGUUAUCACCAAAUGUCUAUAUUAAAUGUUGACAAUAGAAACAAUUUUAGUGCUUUGUUAUUUUUACUCUUAAGUAUUUUCUGAGAUUAUUUCUUUUCUUUCUGUUUUGAUUUGCUGAGGUAGAGGAGUAUUAGAAUGUGUUCUUCCACUUCAGAGAAUAGGGGACCGGUCGCUGAUGUCAAGGUGGCCAGUUCAUGGCGAGAAGAAAUAUGCACUGAAGAGGACUUGAGGCCCUACAAGAUGCUAGAAUUCAAACUGCCCUUGGUGAGCGGGAAGUUCUUGGAUCGAUGAGGAUGGGCCAUUUGCUGAUGUCGACGAGGCCGCGCAGGGCGGGAAGAAGUAUGCUUCUGCUGAGGACUAGAGGCCCUACAAGACACUAGAAUUCAAACUGCCCUUGGUGAGCGGGAAGCUCCUGGAUCUCUGAGGACGGACUGGUCGCUGAUGUCGACGAGGCCACGCAGGGCAGGGAGAAGUGUGCUUCUGCUGAAGACUUGAGGCCCUAGAAGACGCUAGAAUUCAAACUGCCCUUGGUGAGCGGGAAUUUCCUGGAUCUCUGUGGACGGACUGGUCGCUAAUGUCAACGUGGCUGUGCAGGGUGGGAAGAAGUGUGCUUCAGAAGAGGACUUGAGGUCCUACAAGACGCUGGAAUUCAAACUGCCCUUGGUGAGCGGAAAGCUCCUGGAUCUCUGAGGACGGACCAGUUGCUGAUGUCUACGAGGCCAUGCAGGGCAGCAAGAAGUGUGCAUCUGCUGAGGACUUGAGGCCCUAGAGGAUGCUAGAAUUCAAACUGCCUUGGUGAGCGGGAAGUUCCUGGAUCUCUGAGGACGGACUGGUCGCUAAUGUCAACGUGGCUGUGCAGGGUGGGAAGAAGUGUGCUUCAGAAGAGGACUUGAGGUCCUACAAGACGCUGGAAUUCAAACUGCCCUUGGUGAGCGGGAAGCUCCUGGAUCUCUGAGGACGGACUGGUCGCUGAUGUCGACGUGGCCGUGCAGGGUGGAAAGAAGUGUGCUUCUGCUGAGGACUUGAGGCCCUACAAGACGCUAGAAUUCAAACUGCCCUUGGACCGGUCGCUGAUGUCGACGUGGCCGUGCAGGGUGGGAAGAAGUGUGCUUCUGCUGAGGACUUGAGGCCCUACAAGACGCUAGAAUUCAAACUGCCCUUGGUGAGCGGGAAGUUCCUGGAUCUCUGAGGACGGACCGGUCGCUGAUGUCAGUGUGGCCGUGCAGGGUGGGAAGAAGUGUGCUUCUGCUGAGGACUUGAGGCCCUACAAGACGCUAGAAUUCAAACUGCCCUUGGUGAGCGGGAAGUUCCUGGAUCUCUGAGGACGGUUCAGUUGUUGAUAUCGAUGUGGCCAGGGAAGGGCCAGAAGUGUUUCUGCUGAGGACUUGAGGCCCUCCAAGACGCUAGAAUUCAAACUGUCCAUAUUGGGCAGGAAGUCCCUGUAUCUCUGAGGACGAAUGGCUUCUAAGAGGUUCACAUCUCAAGUGCAUUCCUGGCCUGCGCCCAAUACUAAGGGGGAUUUUUGCCCAGUGGCAUGGCUUCUAAGAAGAUGCAACUUGUACAUUUCUUCUGAGAACCGGAGGCACUUGGACACCAUGGAAUCCCUGUGCCCUGUGGUGGGCUCCAUUUCAUUAGAGCUCCAAGGAUGGGGAGUUGAGAUCAGUGGCAUUUCUUCUGGAAUGACGCAAGAUGUACCCUUGGCUGAGUACUGAAGGCACUGGAGGGCGCUGGAAUCCCUGUGUCCAGUAGGAGGCUCCAUUUCGUUGGAGCUCUGAAGAAGGGGAAGUUGAGGUUGGUGGCAUUUCUUCUGGGAUGACACAGAUGUACUCUUUGUUGAGGACCAGAGGCACUGGAGGGUGCUGGAAUCCCUGUGGCCUGUGGUGGGCUCCAAUUUGCUGGAGCAAGAGAAUGGGGAGUUGAGAUCAGUGGCAUUUCUUCUGGAAUGACGCAAGAUGUACCCUUGGCUGAGUACUGAAGGCACUGGAGGGCGCUGGAAUCCCUGUGUCCAGUAGGAGGCUCCAUUUCGUUGGAGCUCUGAAGAAGUUCUAACACAAGGAGCUCUGUGGAGUUUCAGGGAACCUUUGGAUGGCACUUUCUAUGAGGCUUUAAGGGGGAGUUGAGGUCGGCAAUAUGUCUUCUGGGAUGAAGCUAGAUGUAUACUUCUCUUGAGGACCAGAGGCACUGGAGGGCGCUGGAAUCCCUGUGGCUUGUGGUGGGCUCUGUUUCUUGGAUUUCUAAGGAUGGGGAGUUGCGGCUGGCAACAUGACUUCUGUGGAGACACAAACUGCACUUUUCCUGAAGAACAGAGGCACCUGGGGGCCCUAGAAUCCCUGUGUCCUGCAGCGGGCUCCAUGUUGCUGGAGCUCUGAGGAUGAUGGUAUUGUGGACAGUGGCUUAGUCCUGCAGAUACACAAGAUGUAUGCUUCUCCUGAAGAUCAGAGGCAUUCUGAGGUGCUGGAAUACUUGUUGCCUGCAGCAGACCAGAAGUCACUGGAGCUUGAUGACAGUCCCUCCAUUGAUGAGUGAAGAAUAGGGCCAGGAUCCUCUGGCUCUCUUUGAGUGCUGACCAAGGAAGCUGCUAUGCCAAUGGAGAUGGUGUCCACUCUUGGAGCAUCCAACAUCAGAAGAGGCAUCAUUCCUGUGCAGUGAAUACUGGUAACCUUAAGGAAGGAUGUAUAUAUUCUGAAAUUCCUGAAGCUACCACUGAAAUCCUAGUCACAUACUGCCUUGGUUCACCUGGAGGCUGGUGGAUAACCAUGAUGAUGCCCAUGUGGUAUCAUCACAGAUUUUAUAUGAAAUAGUUACAUUUUUUCACCUUGAGAAGUGACAGAAUGGAGAGAAUAAUGAAUGCAUCUGACAUCAAGAAAUCCAGAGCCAGUUUGAAUACUCAACAUGAUUAGGUGCCACAUAAUUCCAUGAAAUCUCACCCCAAAUGCAAUGAAGUACUGAUUUUAUUAUUUAUACCAACAUAUCUGGAAAAGAGAAGAGACAAUACACUCCUGAGGUUUAUGUGGACCAAGUACUAAGGCAUAUGGAAGAGUUUGUUCCUUGAGAAUUAUGGAAAUAAUUUUGCUAACUUAUCCUCAGAGACCUUUAUUUUUGCAUAUUGAUGUGGGAAUUCUCAAAGAGUUCAAAGUGGUAUUGGAAUUGCAUGGAUUCCUUGCUGCCAUACCCAUGAAAGCUGACACCAGUGAAGAGCUUAUUUUGUCACUACAAACUUCCUUAUGAGCAGGAACAUGAUGAUGCAUUCUUGAGUUUCCCUAGAAACUCCUCAUAAUGGAAUGAGGCAUGGAGAAUGGUGGAGAGGCUGUUUGUCACUGGUGGCAAAGGGAUGUUUGGAUCUACUAAGGCUUGUGCUUACCUUAUCGCCAGUGAGUCCUCAAGAAUGUGACCUGAUGAGCAUCAGAGAGUUGAGUGGGAAGUGACUCAUGGUGAGAGGGGUGAUAAUAGAGGAAGGAAAGGAAUCCGCCAAUGCCCUUGCCUUAACUCUCAAAUGUUAGCACCUCGAAAUAGGCUGGAAAUUUACUUACUAGUCAACUGUUCUCUAUUCCUACCGAUGAUCUCUUGGAUACUCUUGCAGAAGAUGGCUUCCUGGGAACUUUUCUGGGAAUGUAUGAUUACCAGUAAAUUCCUGAAACAAGAGUCGUCCAGGAACCUCUUUGCCUACCUUUUGUCCAAGUGUCAUCCUCUGAUGAUGAUGACCACAAAAUGAAGCAGAUUUAUUGCAAAUGGUGCCAUUACUUCCACCACCAGCUUCACCAAAACAAUGAUACAAUCUUCCUUAUGCUUGGAGACUCUUUCCUGUCUGGCAGUGGAUACCUCCUGCAGAUAAGAAAUGCUUAACUGAGAAAUGCUCAUGUUGGGAUAUCAUCGAUGAGACUUUAAUUUGGGCAUGGUGACUGUUUCCCUUGCUGCCACUUGAAUCAAUCCCAGGAGCCUCAGUAGAGGAAAUAAUAUAACACAAGAAGCUCACAAUGGUGGAAUUUCUCAGUGCUCCCAUAAAUACACACUUAUAAUUUUCUUUUGCCACAUGGUAUUUUUUUUAAAAAAAUAGAAUAUAUUAAAAGAAGUGGUAUGAUUUUUUUCAAAAAUUCAAAGCAUAUUUAAAUAACUAAUAUAUAAAUUAAGUACCUUGCUCUCUUCCAAAUAUAUUCCCAUAGUUUACCUCUCUUAAGGGUCAUGUGCAUUUUUUAGUGGAUAGAUAUGCACGAACACACACACAAUCUAUUUUUGGGAAGGGUCUGUAAGUGGGGCCAUAUUGUAACACAUUUUGUGCAAAUUGCCUCUUUCAUUUAACAAUCUUUUCAAUGGCCUUUUUAUAUUUCAAUAAUACAUACACAUCUGUGUUGUUUGUUGAAUGACUGCAUGACUGCUUAGAUGAAAUAUUAUUAAAUGUUUUUAGCAUCUCUCAUUCAUAGAUAAUUAUGUUAGCACCAAAUUUUUGUGCAGUGAACCUCCCCAUAUACCAAAAAUUUGCAUUUGUCUAUUUUUCAUGAUAAAUUACUUAGCAGUUGAAAUGCUGGGAUUAAGGAUAUGCACACUUCAAAUUUUGAAAAAUAUUGUUAGAUUUCUAUUAAAAAUGUGAUUAACAGAUUUAUCUUCAAGUGGCAAUAAAUGAGAUUGCCAACUUUCUGGUAACCUAACAGAAAAUGAAUUUUAUAAAUAUUUAAGAUUUUUGCCAAUGUGAUCACCCAAAAUAUUGUCUUAAAUUGUAUUUCUUUUGUUUUUGAGUUUAAUCAUUUUUCAUAUGUUUAUUAGCCAUCUGUAUUUUUUAAUUUCCUCUUUAUGCCCAAUUCAGGUGAAUGGGGGAAAUUCCAGUAUCUUGGUUAUUUUAAAGAGCUCAUUUACUCUUGGGGAAAUAAGCUUUGGAUUGUCAAGCAUUACAGAUAUUUUUCCACACUUUUUAACUUUGUUUUUGUUACAAGAAUAUGUAUGAUUGUUAUAUGUCCAAGUAUAACCAUGUUUGCUUUAAUGGCUUCUGAGUUUCAUGUCAUUUUUGGAAAGAUAUAUAUUGAGCCCAUAAAACCCUUCACCUAUGUUAACUUCUAA